GUGAGGAAUAUUGGUCAAUGGGCGAGAGCCUGAACCAGCCAAGUCGCGUGAAGGAUGACUGUCUUAUGGAUUGUAAACUUCUUUUGUAGGGGAAUAAAGACUGGCACGUGUGCUGGAGUGAAUGUACCCUACGAAUAAGCAUCGGCUAACUCCGUGCCAGCAGCCGCGGUAAUACGGAGGAUGCGAGCGUUAUCCGGAUUUAUUGGGUUUAAAGGGUGCGUAGGCGGCCUGUUAAGUCAGCGGUGAAAUCUAGGGGCUUAACUCCUAAAUUGCCAUUGAUACUGGUGGGCUUGAGUGUAGAUGAGGUAGGCGGAAUGCGUGGUGUAGCGGUGGAAUGCAUAGAUAUCACGCAGAACUCCAAUUGCGAAGGCAGCUUACUAAGGUACAACUGACGCUGAAGCACGAAAGCGUGGGUAUCAAACAGGAUUAGAAACCCUAGUAGUCC
This 445-nucleotide ribosomal RNA is filed under the name uncultured bacterium. RNAcentral describes it as "bacterial SSU rRNA". It matches the Rfam family "Bacterial small subunit ribosomal RNA", at positions 354 to 796 of the family's 1533-position model. The record is from RNAcentral.